Molecule: ribosomal RNA, 465 nt
Filed under: uncultured bacterium
Lineage: Bacteria
Description: partial 16S ribosomal RNA
Rfam family: Bacterial small subunit ribosomal RNA
Source: RNAcentral
GACGAACGCUGGCGGCGUGCUUAACACAUGCAAGUCGAACGGAAAGGCCCUGCUUUUGUGGGGUGCUCGAGUGGCGAACGGGUGAGUAACACGUGAGUAACCUGCCCUUGACUUUGGGAUAACUUCAGGAAACUGGGGCUAAUACCGGAUAGGAGCUCCUGCUGCAUGGUGGGGUUGGAAAGUUUCGGCGGUUGGGGAUGGACUCGCGGCUUAUCAGCUUGUUGGUGGGGUAGUGGCUUACCAAGGCUUUGACGGGUAGCCGGCCUGAGGGUGACCGGCCACAUUGGGACUGAGAUACGGCCCAGACUCCUACGGGAGGCAGCAGUGGGGAAUAUUGCACAAUGGGCGGAAGCCUGAUGCAGCAACGCCGCGUGCGGGAUGACGGCCUUCGGGUUGUAAACCGCUUUCGCCUGUGACGAAGCGUGAGUGACGGUAAUGGGUAAAGAAGCACCGGCUAACUACGUG